Molecule: long non-coding RNA, 650 nt
Organism: Homo sapiens (human)
Lineage: Eukaryota; Metazoa; Chordata; Mammalia; Primates; Hominidae
Exons: 2
Source: RefSeq, a predicted model, not a curated record
UUUUUUCCUGAAAGUCAAUAAAGAAGGAAUGAUGACACCUUCACUGCAUCUAUGGGGACAAAAGCUGCUCGUGUGUGUGUGUGUGUGUGUGUGUGUGUGUGUGUGUGUGUAAGAGAGAGACAGAGAACAGCCUUGUCAAAAGGAUGUGUUUGUUGCUGUACCCUCAUUAUACGAAAGCCAUCAUGGCAUCAAAAUGCUGUAAGCCAGGCUGAGCUCUAUUCUCUCUGCAUCAACUCAGAAUCCCUACCAGAAAGUGGUUGUGAUGGAUGGAAUAUCACCCAUCAAAGAACAGGGUAAGAUGAGACCAGAGAGAUACCUGAAUGGACUGUUCUCUUAGCUCUCUUCAUGGAAUUUUGUCGGUUCAAGAAGUCAUACCCCAGCCCAAGAGAAGCCCUGGACAUCUCUCAUAAGACAUCCAAGGGACAGGGCUCCUGGGAGACCUAGGGUGAGCUGGAGAGUGAAGAACAGACCCCACUGGGAAGUAAGCAGCCCUGGAUUCUGCCUCUUGCAAACUGAUUCGUUUUGAACCCUGUUUUUCUAUCUGUACAAGGGACUGUAACUCCCCUGCCCCUGCCUAGAUUCUCAUACCUGGAGACUAGGAGGGCUAAGACCCCUUCUAGAGAUAAAAAUAAAAGUUGUGAAGAAAAAGA